RNAcentral lists this transfer RNA (73 nucleotides) under Cellulosilyticum sp. RNAcentral's name for it is "tRNA-Thr". It matches the Rfam family "tRNA". From Rfam's summary of the family: Transfer RNA (tRNA) molecules are approximately 80 nucleotides in length. Their secondary structure includes four short double-helical elements and three loops (D, anti-codon, and T loops). The record is from RNAcentral. Lineage: Bacteria; Bacillati; Bacillota; Clostridia; Lachnospirales; Cellulosilyticaceae.
GCUGUUAUGGCUCAGUCGGUAGAGCGUCGCCUUGGUAAGGCGGAGGCCACGGGUUCGAUUCCCGUUAACAGCU